AUCCAUGUGGGACAUCCCAAUUGAUGGGAUAAACUCUUUUUAUGUGAGUCGACUAGAAUCCUGUUUCAUUAAAAGGGCCUCUAGGGCGUCUCAAAUCUCAAAAUCCUUCAUCUCUCUCUCGUCCCAAACCUAGGAAUCUCAUUCUAGAUCUCCCAAAAACUCCAAAAUCCCAUAAAAUCGUGGACCACUCUCUUCAAAUUUUUUUGAUCUCACGGCUCACUCUCUUGAUUUUCCCAAAUUCCAAAUCCUAACCCAC
This 256-nucleotide long non-coding RNA is filed under the name Elaeis guineensis (African oil palm). RNAcentral's name for it is "long non-coding RNA (EGUI_LNC017886)". Lineage: Eukaryota; Viridiplantae; Streptophyta; Magnoliopsida; Arecales; Arecaceae. The record is from RNAcentral.